CCUACGGGAGGCAGCAGUGGGGAAUAUUGGACAAUGGGCGAAAGCCUGAUCCAGCAAUGCCGCGUGAGUGAUGAAGGCCUUAGGGUCGUAAAGCUCUUUUACCAGGGAUGAUAAUGACAGUACCUGGAGAAUAAGCUCCGGCUAACUCCGUGCCAGCAGCCGCGGUAAUACGGAGGGAGCUAGCGUUGUUCGGAAUUACUGGGCGUAAAGCGUACGUAGGCGGUUAUUCAAGUCAGAGGUGAAAGCCCGGGGCUCAACCCCGGAACGGCCUUUGAAACUAGAUAGCUAGAGUCUUGGAGAGGUCAGUGGAAUUCCGAGUGUAGAGGUGAAAUUCGUAGAUAUUCGGAAGAACACCAGUGGCGAAGGCGACUGACUGGACAAGUACUGACGCUGAGGUACGAAAGCGUGGGGAGCAAACAGGAUUAGAUACCCUGGUAGUCCACGCCGUAAACGAUGAUAACUAGCUGUCCGGGUACUUGGUAUCUGGGUGCGCAGCUAACGCAUUAAGUUAUCCGCCUGGGGAGUACGGUCGCAAGAUUAAAACCUCAAAGGAAUUGACGGCNGAGAGNGCGAGACGACACGAGGAGAG
RNAcentral lists this ribosomal RNA (589 nucleotides) under uncultured bacterium. Its description in RNAcentral is "bacterial SSU rRNA". It matches the Rfam family "Bacterial small subunit ribosomal RNA", at positions 338 to 948 of the family's 1533-position model. The record is from RNAcentral.